CUAAUACCGGAUAAUAAAGCAGAUCGCAUGAUCAGCUUUUGAAAGGCGGCGUAAGCUGUCGCUAAGGGAUGGCCCCGCGGUGCAUUAGCUAGUUGGUAAGGUAACGGCUUACCAAGGCGACGAUGCAUAGCCGAGUUGAGAGACUGAUCGGCCACAUUGGGACUGAGACACGGCCCAAACUCCUACGGGAGGCAGCAGUAGGGAAUCUUCCACAAUGGACGCAAGUCUGAUGGAGCAACGCCGCGUGAGUGAAGAAGGUUUUCGGAUCGUAAAGCUCUGUUGUUGGUGAAGAAGGAUAGAGGUAGUAACUGGCCUUUAUUUGACGGUAAUCAACCAGAAAGUCACGGCUAACUACGUGCCAGCAGCCGCGGUAAUACGUAGGUGGCAAGCGUUGUCCGGAUUUAUUGGGCGUAAAGCGAGCGCAGGCGGAAAAAUAAGUCUAAUGUGAAAGCCCUCGGCUUAACCGAGGAACUGCAUCGGAAACUGUUUUUCUUGAGUGCAGAAGAGGAGAGUGGAACUCCAUGUG
Molecule: ribosomal RNA, 526 nt
Filed under: uncultured bacterium
Lineage: Bacteria
Description: bacterial SSU rRNA
Rfam family: Bacterial small subunit ribosomal RNA
Source: RNAcentral